This 69-nucleotide transfer RNA is filed under the name Boehmantis microtympanum. RNAcentral describes it as "tRNA-Val". It matches the Rfam family "tRNA". From Rfam's summary of the family: Transfer RNA (tRNA) molecules are approximately 80 nucleotides in length. Their secondary structure includes four short double-helical elements and three loops (D, anti-codon, and T loops). The record is from RNAcentral. Lineage: Eukaryota; Metazoa; Chordata; Amphibia; Anura; Mantellidae.
CAAAGUGUAGCUUAACUAAAGCCCCUCGCUUACACCGAGAAAAUAUCUGUUAAACCCAGAUCACCUUGA